AACGAACGCUGGCGGCAGGCCUAACACAUGCAAGUCGAACGCCGUAGCAAUACGGAGUGGCAGACGGGUGAGUAACGCGUGGGAACAUACCCCUCGGUUCGGAAUAACUCAGGGAAACUUGAGCUAAUACCGGAUACGUCCGAGGUUUUAAUCGACCUUGGAGAAAGAUUUAUCGCCGGAGGAUUGGCCCGCGUCUGAUUAGCUUGUUGGUGAGGUAAUGGCUCACCAAGGCGACGAUCAGAGCUGGUCUGAGAGGAUGAUCAGCCACAUUGGGACUGAGACACGGCCCAAACUCCUACGGGAGGCAGCAGUGGGGAAUAUUGGACAAUGGGCGAAAGCCUGAUCCAGCCAUGCCGCGUGAGUGAUGAAGGCCUUAGGGUUGUAAAGCU
RNAcentral lists this ribosomal RNA (389 nucleotides) under uncultured bacterium. RNAcentral describes it as "bacterial SSU rRNA". It matches the Rfam family "Bacterial small subunit ribosomal RNA", at positions 29 to 432 of the family's 1533-position model. The record is from RNAcentral.